This 73-nucleotide transfer RNA is filed under the name Myotis lucifugus (little brown bat). It matches the Rfam family "tRNA". From Rfam's summary of the family: Transfer RNA (tRNA) molecules are approximately 80 nucleotides in length. The record is from Rfam by way of RNAcentral. Lineage: Eukaryota; Metazoa; Chordata; Mammalia; Chiroptera; Vespertilionidae.
GCCAGUGUGGCUCAAUGGGUAGAGCGUCAGCCUGCAGACUGAAGGGUCCCAGGUUCGCUUCUGGUCAAGGGCA